CUGGAGAGGUGGAAGAGCUGCUUCAUUCAACAUCAUUCCUAGUAGCACUGGAGCUGCUAAGGCUGUUGGGAAGGUGCUGCCUGCUCUGAAUGGGAAACUUACAGGAAUGGCUUUCCGUGUUCCAACAGUUGAUGUCUCUGUGGUUGACCUCACGGUGAGGCUAGAGAAGAAAGCUUCAUAUGAUCAAAUAAAAGCUGCUAUCAAGUGAGUGCAAUUAGCGUUAUACAUGCUUGAGAAAGACAUAAAGUUCCUAAAAAGAUAGCAUGAUGUGUUACCUUUGUAUGGGCAAAUAGGGGAUUUCUACUGCUUGAGAAGUUUAGAGGCUCAAACUUUUAAAUUUAGUGGUCUAUGAUUUAUUUCCUCAAACUUAUAUUAUUUUAUUUAUUUACUUAUUAAAUAUAGGGAGGAAUCAGAGG
This 416-nucleotide unclassified non-coding RNA is filed under the name Hevea brasiliensis (rubber tree). Lineage: Eukaryota; Viridiplantae; Streptophyta; Magnoliopsida; Malpighiales; Euphorbiaceae. The record is from RNAcentral.